RNAcentral lists this ribosomal RNA (978 nucleotides) under Microbacterium sp. H6. Its description in RNAcentral is "bacterial SSU rRNA". It matches the Rfam family "Bacterial small subunit ribosomal RNA", at positions 50 to 1039 of the family's 1533-position model. Lineage: Bacteria; Bacillati; Actinomycetota; Actinomycetes; Micrococcales; Microbacteriaceae. The record is from RNAcentral.
UACACAUGCAAGUCGAACGGUGAACACGGAGCUUGCUCUGUGGGAUAGUGGCGAACGGGUGAGUAACACGUGAGCAACCUGCCCCUGACUCUGGGAUAAGCGCUGGAAACGGCGUCUAAUACUGGAUAUGUGACGUGACCGCAUGGUCUGCGUCUGGAAAGAAUUUCGGUUGGGGAUGGGCUCGCGGCCUAUCAGCUUGUUGGUGAGGUAAUGGCUCACCAAGGCGUCGACGGGUAGCCGGCCUGAGAGGGUGACCGGCCACACUGGGACUGAGACACGGCCCAGACUCCUACGGGAGGCAGCAGUGGGGAAUAUUGCACAAUGGGCGCAAGCCUGAUGCAGCAACGCCGCGUGAGGGACGACGGCCUUCGGGUUGUAAACCUCUUUUAGCAGGGAAGAAGCGAAAGUGACGGUACCUGCAGAAAAAGCGCCGGCUAACUACGUGCCAGCAGCCGCGGUAAUACGUAGGGCGCAAGCGUUAUCCGGAAUUAUUGGGCGUAAAGAGCUCGUAGGCGGUUUGUCGCGUCUGCUGUGAAAUCCGGAGGCUCAACCUCCGGCCUGCAGUGGGUACGGGCAGACUAGAGUGCGGUAGGGGAGAUUGGAAUUCCUGGUGUAGCGGUGGAAUGCGCAGAUAUCAGGAGGAACACCGAUGGCGAAGGCAGAUCUCUGGGCCGUAACUGACGCUGAGGAGCGAAAGGGUGGGGAGCAAACAGGCUUAGAUACCCUGGUAGUCCACCCCGUAAACGUUGGGAACUAGUUGUGGGGUCCAUUCCACGGAUUCCGUGACGCAGCUAACGCAUUAAGUUCCCCGCCUGGGGAGUACGGCCGCAAGGCUAAAACUCAAAGGAAUUGACGGGGACCCGCACAAGCGGCGGAGCAUGCGGAUUAAUUCGAUGCAACGCGAAGAACCUUACCAAGGCUUGACAUAUACGAGAACGGGCCAGAAAUGGUCAACUCUUUGGACACUCGUAAACAGGU